CCCUUAGAUGUUCUGGGCCGCACGCGCGCUACACUGAUUCAUGCAACAAGUUUUGUCCUUGGCUGAUAGGCCUGGGUAAUCUUUGAACGUGAAUCGUGAUGGGGAUAGAUGAUUGCAAUUAUUCAUCUUCAACGAGGAAUUCCUAGUAAACGCAAGUCAUCAGCUUGCAUUGAUUACGUCCCUGCCCUUUGUACACACCGCCCGUCGCACCUACCGAUUCAAUGGUCCGGUGAAAUCUUCGGAUCUGAGAGAUGUCUGAUUAAUUUCGGACGCCUUUUGGAAAAGUUGUUUAAACCUUACCAUUUAGAGGAAGGUGAAGUCGUANCA
RNAcentral lists this ribosomal RNA (327 nucleotides) under uncultured eukaryote. Its description in RNAcentral is "partial 18S ribosomal RNA". It matches the Rfam family "Eukaryotic small subunit ribosomal RNA", at positions 1470 to 1796 of the family's 1831-position model. The record is from RNAcentral.